CGAGAGAGGUUUUGGUGCAUUUGCUCAUAGUACCUGCUGACUGUCCCCCGAAAGGGGGCGUUGGAAUGCUACGACGCGAUACCGCCCGUCUUGAAACACGGACCAAGGAGUCUAGCGUAUGAGCGAGUCAAAGGGGAAAGUGGAUACCCUACGGCGUAGUGAAAGCAAAUUGUGACCCGGUAAAAUGGACCAAUUUGAGGCGGCUGUGAUUCUUCGGAUGAUAGGUCCGACCUAGAGCUCAUACGAUAGGACCCGAAAGAUGGUGAUCUAUGCCUGGGUAGGACGAAGCCAGGGGAAACCCUGGUGGAGGUUCGAAGCGUUGCUGACGUGCAAAUCGCUCGUCAAACCUGGGUAUAGGGACUACAGAUCAAUCGAACCAUCUAGUAGCUGGUUCCCUCCGAAGUUUCUCUCAGGAUAGCUGGCCGACGUUUUUCUAAAAUCGUAAGAUGAAUGGAUAUCAUGUUGUUGUGGGCGGUAGAGCGAAUGAUUAGCAUGUUGGGGGAGUAACCCUUCUCCGGAUGAUUCUCAAACUCUAAAUGCCCACGCAAUGACCCUGGGGGCAUUCUUGCCCCAGUCGCUGAAUAAAAACGUCGGCCGUGUGGGCCACUUUUGGUAAGCAGAACUGGCGAUGCGGGUUGAACCGUACGCGCGUCUAAGGCGCCAAAAUGCCCGCUCAGAGACCCCAAGAAAGGUGUUGAUCCAUCGAGACAGCAGGACGGUGGCCAUGGAAGUCGGAAUCCGCUAAGGAGUGUGUAACAACUCACCUGCCGAAUGGGUUAGCCCUGAAAAUGGAUGGCGCUCAAGCGGGCUGCCGAUGUCGUGCCGUUCGGGGCAAACAAAAUAAAACAUUUUUUUUGUAACUAAUGGUUGGUGUAAAAAUCGAAAAUGAAAAAAAUAUAAAAAUGUUUUAGCUAUCCUUGAAUGAGUAGGAGGGUGUGGAGGUUGCGUCGAAGCGUGCGGGGCAACCUGGCGUGGAGCGGCCUCUAGUACAGAUCUUGGUGAUAGUAGCAAAUAUUCAGGUGAGACCCCUGAAGGUCGAAGCGGGGAAGGGUUCCACGCGAACAUUGAUUGAACGUGGGUGAGCCGUACCUAAGCCAAGUGGCCAUGGCUGCGAUAGGCGAAAGGGAGGCAGGUUGAUAUUCCUGCGCUCGGAUGUAGUUGAUGGCGGUGACGCAAUCUCUUUCCGGGGUGGUGACAUCGGUGGACUCGCUGGGCAGAGUUUUCUUCUCUGUUUGACGCGUACCACGCUGUGUGGAGGCCGAUUAUCGGGAGAAGCACGCGUGAUGAGGCAGAGCGCCGCGAGGUAUUUGCGGCGUCCGGCUUGAGUUAAUCGGUCCUUGAAAAACCACUUGCUGGGUCGAUGGGGGGCAGGGAUGAGACUUAGUUUCCUCUACCUCUUGUCGAUGAUAAAGAAACGACUACGCUGAGACGUACCCAGAACCGCAGCAGGU
This 1451-nucleotide ribosomal RNA is filed under the name Martensia elegans. RNAcentral describes it as "LSU rRNA". It matches the Rfam family "Eukaryotic large subunit ribosomal RNA", at positions 564 to 1864 of the family's 3401-position model. The record is from RNAcentral. Lineage: Eukaryota; Rhodophyta; Florideophyceae; Ceramiales; Delesseriaceae.